Molecule: ribosomal RNA, 500 nt
Filed under: uncultured bacterium
Lineage: Bacteria
Description: partial 16S ribosomal RNA
Rfam family: Bacterial small subunit ribosomal RNA
Source: RNAcentral
AUUGAACGCUGGCGGCAUGCCUUACACAUGCAAGUCGAACGGUAACAGGGAGCUUGCUCCGCUGACGAGUGGCGAACGGGUGAGUAAUGCAUCGGAACGUACCCAGUAGUGGGGGAUAACGCAGCGAAAGCUGUGCUAAUACCGCAUACGCACUGAGGUGGAAAGCAGGGGACCUUCGGGCCUUGUGCUAUUGGAGCGGCCGAUGUCAGAUUAGCUAGUUGGUGGGGUAAAAGCUCACCAAGGCGACGAUCUGUAGCUGGUCUGGGAGGAUGAUCAGCCCCACUGGGACUGAGACACGGCACAGACUCCUACGGGAGGGAGCAGUGGGGAAUUUUGGACAAUGGGGGCAACCCUGAUCCAGCCAUGCCGCGUGAGUGAAGAAGGCCUUCGGGUUGUAAAGCUCUUUCGGCCGGGAAGAAAUCGCCAUCUCUAACAUAGGUGGUGGAUGACGGUACCGGAAUAAGAAGCACCGGCUAACUACGUGCCAGCAGCCGCCGUAA